RNAcentral lists this ribosomal RNA (253 nucleotides) under uncultured bacterium. RNAcentral describes it as "partial 16S ribosomal RNA". It matches the Rfam family "Bacterial small subunit ribosomal RNA", at positions 524 to 776 of the family's 1533-position model. The record is from RNAcentral.
UACAGAGGUCUCAAGCGUUGUUCGGAUUCACUGGGCGUAAAGGGAGUGUAGGCGGUUCGGUAAGUGGGAUGUGAAAUCCCCGGGCUCACCCCGGGACCUGCAUCCCAUACUGCUGAGCUUGAGUACAGGAGAGGGUGGGGGAAUUCCUGGUGUAGCGGUGAAAUGCGUAGAUAUCAGGAGGAACACCGGUGGCGAAGGCGCCCACCUGGCCUGCUACUGACGCUGAUGCUCGAAAGCUAGGGGAGCAAACAGG